Psammomys obesus (fat sand rat) is the source of this 1170-nucleotide long non-coding RNA. RefSeq lists it as uncharacterized. Lineage: Eukaryota; Metazoa; Chordata; Mammalia; Rodentia; Muridae. The transcript has 3 exons. The record is from RefSeq and is a predicted model, not a curated record.
UAAGACGGGCUUGGAGUGAGCGGUGCGCUGAGGGGCUGCGAAUCCUCGCCCUCCACCCGCUUCCAGCGUCGAGCGUGCGUGGGGUCCUGGACACAUUUGGAAGUUCAGGAGUUUAGGGAUCUGCCCUCGCCCCAGUUUUGACUGGUAAGAUGACAAGUUAAUGCAGCAAUUACCACUCAAACUAGGCUGACGCCUGGAGCUGCCUUCAUGAAGCUGAACUGGACACUUGACGCCGCGUUUUGUCCAACCCAGCCCUGUUUGGUAGACUUCAUGAUUCCAUUUUUACAGAUGGGGAAAUCGAGGCCCGGAGAGGCUGGGUCAUUUGCACUGAGGGCUGAGCCAGGCAGAGGGGCACAGCAGAUCCCAAACUCAGCCUUUCUCCGAAGCGUGAGACUUUCCGUUCUUCUAGGACGCCCUACUUUGCUUUUUAAAGAAACAAUUUUGUGACCCACAUCUCGUUGGCGACAUUUUCAGCAGGAAGACCAGGAGUCCUCACUGAAUCCGAAUCUUUGCCAUUCAGCUUGAUUAGCUGCCCAGCAAGCCCCCAGAAUCCUUCUGUCUCUUCCUCCCCAGCUCUGGGAUUACAAGUGCGUCCCACUGCGCCAGCCUCUUACAUGGAUACUGGGGAUCCAAACUCAGGUUCUCCAUGGUCUUCUCCAUGUGAACCAUCUCUUCAGCUCCAGCCUCAAACUCUUGCUCUUCCUGCCUCAGCCUCCCCAGGGCUGGAAGUACUGCUCUGAGUGGUACGAGUAGAUUCUGAACUAUGCACAGGUCAUUCAGGACCAGGAAGGACAAGGAGACACUACAAUCUAACUCUGAAGAGACCAAUGACUUGGUCCUCAUCCCUGUAUUUGAAGCACUUCACCAGCUAAGCUGUCUCCCAAGUCUCCAGAGGAGAGGAGCCUGCCUCUUCUGUGCCAAGUCUGAAGAGAAUGUGAGGUCUGGAGCUGUUGCAACCAUUCCAGAAACCCGAGGCCACACUGGUACAGGGACACAGAAGCAAGUGGAGGAGCAUGAGCUUCAGAGCCCUCACUGUGGCAAUGGCCUGCACUUCAAGCUGCAGGGACAGACCUCUCCUGCAUCCUGACUGUCAGCAGGCCAGCAAGUCCCUUCUCUGCCUUUGUGGUUUGGCUUGGCAUUCUGUCAUUUAUUAAAACCAAAGUGUAUCAG